This 406-nucleotide ribosomal RNA is filed under the name uncultured bacterium. RNAcentral describes it as "partial 16S ribosomal RNA". It matches the Rfam family "Bacterial small subunit ribosomal RNA", at positions 30 to 526 of the family's 1533-position model. The record is from RNAcentral.
AUUGAACGCUGGCGGCAGGCCUAACACAUGCAAGUCGGGCGAGCGGCGGACGGGUGAGUAAUGUAUGGGGAUCUGCCUGAUGGAGGGGGAUAACUACUGGAAACGGUAGCUAAUACCGCAUCCCAUAAGAUGAACCCAUAUGGGAUUAGCUUGUAGGUGAGGUAACGGCUCACCUAGGCGACGAUCCCUAGCUGGUCUGAGUUGAUGACCAGCCACACUGGUACUGAGACACGUCCCAGACUCCAACGGGAGGCAGCCGGCGGGAAGAUUGCGCAGGUGAGGCAACCCUGACGCCGCCAUGCCGAGUGAAUGAAGAAGGCCUUCGGGUUGUAAAGGUCUUUCGGUAGCGAGGCGUUGACUACAGAAGAAGCACCGGCUAACUCCGUGCCAGCAGCCGCGGUAAUAC